UGCAGUAUAGAGGAGUGGUAACCUCGUGAGACUCAUUAUCUCAAGGCGAUAGUUCAAAUCUAUCUGCUGCAC
RNAcentral lists this transfer RNA (72 nucleotides) under Hariotina sp. MMOGRB0030F. RNAcentral describes it as "tRNA-Met". It matches the Rfam family "tRNA". Rfam says of the family: Transfer RNA (tRNA) molecules are approximately 80 nucleotides in length. Their secondary structure includes four short double-helical elements and three loops (D, anti-codon, and T loops). The record is from RNAcentral. Lineage: Eukaryota; Viridiplantae; Chlorophyta; Chlorophyceae; Sphaeropleales; Scenedesmaceae.